RNAcentral lists this ribosomal RNA (445 nucleotides) under uncultured Thiobacillus sp. RNAcentral describes it as "bacterial SSU rRNA". It matches the Rfam family "Bacterial small subunit ribosomal RNA", at positions 933 to 1382 of the family's 1533-position model. Lineage: Bacteria; Pseudomonadati; Pseudomonadota; Betaproteobacteria; Nitrosomonadales; Thiobacillaceae. The record is from RNAcentral.
UGGAUGAUGUGGAUUAAUUCGAUGCAACGCGAAGAACCUUACCUACCCUUGACAUGUCCGGAACUUGCCAGAGAUGGCUUGGUGCCCGAAAGGGAAUCGGAACACAGGUGCUGCAUGGCUGUCGUCAGCUCGUGUCGUGAGAUGUUGGGUUAAGUCCCGCAACGAGCGCAACCCUUAUCAUUAGUUGCUACGCAAGGGCACUCUAAUGAGACUGCCGGUGACAAACCGGAGGAAGGUGGGGAUGACGUCAAGUCCUCAUGGCCCUUAUGGGUAGGGCUUCACACGUCAUACAAUGGUCGGUACAGAGGGUUGCCAAGCCGCGAGGCGGAGCCAAUCCCACAAAGCCGAUCGUAGUCCGGAUUGUUCUCUGCAACUCGAGAGCAUGAAGUCGGAAUCGCUAGUAAUCGCAGGUCAGCAUACUGCGGUGAAUACGUUCCCGGGCCUU